Molecule: ribosomal RNA, 253 nt
Filed under: uncultured bacterium
Lineage: Bacteria
Description: partial 16S ribosomal RNA
Rfam family: Bacterial small subunit ribosomal RNA
Source: RNAcentral
UACAGAGGUCUCAAACGUUGUUCGGAUUCAUUGGGCGUAAAGGGUGUGUAGGUGGCGCGCUAAGUCGGGUGUGAAAUUUCGGAGCUUAACUCCGAAACUGCAUUCGAUACUGGCGUGCUUGAGGACUGGAGAGGAGACUGGAAUUCAUGGUGUAGCAGUGAAAUGCGUAGAGAUCAUGAGGAAGACCAGUGGCGAAGGCGGGUCUCUGGACAGUUCCUGACACUGAGACACGAAGGCCAGGGGAGCAAACGGG